UUUUCUCUAUGGUAUUCAACUUCAACAAAAUAGGGGAAUACCAUCAUUUCCUGUAAUAUAAAAAUAGGUUUCUAUUCAUUCCGCGUUUAUAAUCUCAAUCAUCUUUUGUUAUAAUUAUUGCCAGUUUUUGCUGUAUUGUGUAAAUUGUUAUCUACUUUAUUUGUCUCAAAAUAGGUACCUUACUGUGUGUAAUAGUCAUUCAUCGUCUGUUCUGUGUGCAAGCAGUAUUUAAUUAUUAACAAGACUGAUAAUAAAUACCGCCUACUCGCCUACUACAAAAGGUGUACCUAAAAACAACAACGAUGUUAAAAAGUAACCAAAAAGAUAUCAAAGAGUUACUGGAGAGUGAUGAUGAAUUUCCACCUGAUUAUCAUGAAAUUCCGGAUACCCCAGCAUACCAAAAUGACAUGCGUUUUGAACCAGUAAAAUUUGGAUGGAUUGAUACUAAUUUCAGCAAAUAUUAUAGUAAAAGGAAUGAAACAAAAACGAGGUUAACUGCAUUGCAUUCUUGUUUGAAUGAAAGCUUUGUACAUAACAAGACCCAAUAUUUAAGACCAGGUGAAAAGGCAUUGAUUUAUAAUGGAGUGCUGAGUGAAUCUGAUAUUGUAUGCCUUAAAUAUGUGGAGUCUCUAACAAGUGAUGCUACAUUGCUGUGGUUUAUACAUUUUUUGAUACAAAAAGAUAUGCACACAAACUUUACUUUUCUGAGAACUUGCCUUGUGGAUUCAAUGAGCAUCAAUAAUGAUCAAAGUCCAUUAACAUGUGACUCAGAAAUCAAAAAAUUUAACUUUGAAAUCAUCUACAAUAAAUAAUUAGGUAUUAAGCCCACAAUUUAUACAACACCUCGAGUUAGUUGAAUAAAUAAAAUAAUGAUUGUAUUAUUAAGUUUACUCAUAAGAUACGCUAAAUUUUUUAUAUUAAU
This is a long non-coding RNA of Ostrinia furnacalis (Asian corn borer), 922 nucleotides long. RefSeq lists it as uncharacterized. The record is from RefSeq and is a predicted model, not a curated record. The transcript is spliced from 2 exons. NCBI's taxonomy places the organism in Eukaryota, Metazoa, Arthropoda, Insecta, Lepidoptera, Crambidae.